GGUGCUUUAUAUCCACCUAGAGGAGCCUGUUCCAUAACCGAUGAUCCCCGAUUUACCUCACCACUCCUUGCUAAUUCAGCCUAUAUACCGCCAUCUUCAGUUAACCCUAAAAAGGAAAUAAAGUAAGCCUAAUCAGUAUUACUAAAGAAGUUAGGUCAAGGUGUAGCCCAUGGAGUGGAGCGAAAUGGGCUACAUUUUCUAUUACUAGAACAUUACGAAACUCUACGUGAAAUCCGUAGAAUAAAGGAGGAUUUAGUAGUAAAUUAAAACUAGAGUGUUUAAUUGAAUAGAGCAAUGAAGCACGCACACACCGCCCGUCACCCUCCUCAAUUUCUCAACAAUUAAAAGUACAUAACACCUAAUUACAAAAGAUUGAGAGGAGACAAGUCGUAACAAGGUAAGUGUACUGGAAAGUGCACUUGGAAAAAUCAAAAU
Molecule: non-coding RNA, 435 nt
Filed under: Dipodomys ordii (Ord's kangaroo rat)
Lineage: Eukaryota; Metazoa; Chordata; Mammalia; Rodentia; Heteromyidae
Description: Bacterial small subunit ribosomal RNA
Rfam family: Bacterial small subunit ribosomal RNA
Source: Rfam by way of RNAcentral